RNAcentral lists this ribosomal RNA (246 nucleotides) under uncultured bacterium. Its description in RNAcentral is "partial 16S ribosomal RNA". It matches the Rfam family "Bacterial small subunit ribosomal RNA", at positions 1255 to 1500 of the family's 1533-position model. The record is from RNAcentral.
GAGCGAUCUGGAGCAAAACUCUAAAAAACAAUCUCAGUUCAGAUUGCAGGCUGCAACUCGCCUGCAUGAAGUCGGAAUUGCUAGUAAUCGUAGGUCAGCAUACUACGGUGAAUACGUUCCCGGGCCUUGUACACGCCGCCCGUCAAACCAUGAGAGUUGGCAACACCCGAAGUCGGUAGUCUAACCGCAAGGAGGACGCCGCCGAAGGUGGGGUUGAUGAUUAGGGUUAAGUCGUAACAAGGUACC